UUAUUGCACUUCUUGAUGUUUGCAGGGCUUGUAGUCCCAGAUGUUCCAUUAGAAGAGACUGAUAAUUUAAGAAAGGAAGCUCUGAAAAAGAAUAUUGAACUGGUAUUGCUAACCACACCCACUACUCCUAAUGAUCGAAUGAAAUCCAUUGUUCAAGCUGCUGAAGGAUUUGUCUAUCUGGAUUAAUUGUUGAUUGUAAUUUGAGCAAGAGCUUGGUUUUGCAGGAUUUUCUAUAACGAAAGACUUUGGAUUUUGAUUGAUUUAUUGAGAUGUCUUCUGCGGUAAUGCGACAUCACGGAGGAGAUGGCGGGGCAGAUCCUCCUCGAGAUCCAACACAUAUAGAGGCUGACUGUGAGAGAGUGCCUGCAAUAAAAAGGUGUGGCAUCAACAAAGGGAUAUCAACCUGAGAGGCUAGGGCUGCCUUAGGUAGACCAUUACCCCUUGAGUGGGAUGUUCGAGGAAAGACGUACAAGGAAAUUGGUGAAUAUUCUCACCAUUUGUCUCGGGAGAUCGGCCUUCUCAUUCGACAAUAUGUCGAUCCCGACUAUGAUCGAUGGGAUAAAGUACCAAAGGAAGUUAGGGAUCGAAUAUUUCCUCGUCUACAGGAUGAUUUAUUCGAUAUUGGUCUCACUCGGUAUGGGGCAGAACAUCGAAGUGGCAUUCUUCUCGGCAUUCAACGAUCUUGCGCUGAUCGUUACUUAGAAUGGAAGAAUGAUAUAUCUACUCACAUAAAGAAGCAUGGUCGGAGACAUGCUCCUGAUGGUUUGGUAGAAGAAAAAUGGAAGAAGGCGCUUGAUUAUUUUGAUCGACCUGAAGUGAAGAGGCGCUCUGAGAUUAAUGCUGCGAAUCGAGCAAAACAAAAACAAAAUAGCUUCCA
Humulus lupulus (European hop) is the source of this 877-nucleotide long non-coding RNA. RefSeq lists it as uncharacterized. The record is from RefSeq and is a predicted model, not a curated record. Lineage: Eukaryota; Viridiplantae; Streptophyta; Magnoliopsida; Rosales; Cannabaceae. The transcript has 7 exons.